UUUCACAAUCCAAUGAUACAAAAGAAUGACGUUCGUUGACGUCUGAUUUAUUACAAAAUACAACGAUACGAAAGGAAGUCUCUUUCUUUGACGUCUGACAUAUUACACAAUACAAUGAUACAAAAGGAAGUCUUCCGUUGAUAUAUUACACAAUACAAUGAUA
Molecule: long non-coding RNA, 163 nt
Organism: Haliotis rubra (blacklip abalone)
Lineage: Eukaryota; Metazoa; Mollusca; Gastropoda; Lepetellida; Haliotidae
Exons: 2
Source: RefSeq, a predicted model, not a curated record